This 389-nucleotide ribosomal RNA is filed under the name Choanoflagellata sp. Its description in RNAcentral is "partial small subunit ribosomal RNA". It matches the Rfam family "Eukaryotic small subunit ribosomal RNA", at positions 582 to 975 of the family's 1831-position model. The record is from RNAcentral. Lineage: Eukaryota; Choanoflagellata.
AUUCCAGCUCCAAUAGCGUAUAUUAAAGUUGUUGCAGUUAAAAAGCUCGUAGUUGGAUUUCUGUUCUCGAGGAUCGGUCCGCCUCACGGUGAGCACUGGUUUUUCUUGGGGACAUCCUCUCGAAGGCGGGUGGUGCACUUAAUUGUGUGCUGCUUGGAUUCGGGACCUUUACUUUGAAAAAAUUAGAGUGUUCAAAGCAGGCGUCGGCUUGAAUACAUUAGCAUGGAAUAAUGGAAUAGGACUUUGGUUCUAUUUUGUUGGUUUCUACGACCGCAGUAAUGAUUAAGAGGGACGAUUGGGGGCAUCCGUAUUUCGUUGUCAGAGGUGAAAUUCUUGGAUUUACGAAAGGCGAACAACUGCGAAAGCAUCUGCCAUGAGUGUUUUCAUUA